Long non-coding RNA from Olea europaea var. sylvestris, 1234 nucleotides. RefSeq lists it as uncharacterized. The transcript is spliced from 3 exons. Lineage: Eukaryota; Viridiplantae; Streptophyta; Magnoliopsida; Lamiales; Oleaceae. The record is from RefSeq and is a predicted model, not a curated record.
ACUACUUCAACCCAUUGCAUCCAUUCAAAUUCAAUCCAAUUCCAUCCACUACUCCUCUCCUUUCUCUCUAUGCUUAAAACCCUAGCCAUUUUUCACACACGCAAGUUUUUUCCAAGAUCUAGUUGACUAGUUUCAGUAACAAAACACCCGGCAAAGAUCAUGACGGUGGUGCCAUAAUCAACCGAACAGGAGCUGAUGAGCUCUCCAACUGACGGCAUAUCAAAUGUCCCCUUCUCAAACCACAGUGACAAUCUAUUGGUUUCUUCUUAGGAUAAGAGUGAUACGCUGUUCAAUUUUAAAGUUGUUCAAUUUAAAGAAUCAUCCCACAACUUUAAAGCAGUUCAAUUUCUUGUUGAUCUUGUCAUUUUCAAUUUUUCGGGCUUUGUGAGAUCCUUAUUAGAUGUUGACUAGUCGGAGAAUCUCAUCUCUUCUCUCUCGCUCACUUCAUUUGCUUCCUCGAAGAGGGGCGGACCCAGAGACUUCGGACUGUGGGGUCAAAAAUGAAAUUUUUUUCGAACAACGUAUCAUUAGCGAAAAUAAAUUCAUAUGCUACUACAAUUGUAGCCUAUGCGUUUUCAUACUUUGAAAACGUCGUAUAAUUACAUCGUUAUCAAUAUUGUCAUGUACAUCACUCUCAAUAUAUGUAACCAAACUAUCACUUAACUAUUGAUCUCCCAUUCGAUUACCCAAUCAAUUCUUGACAAUCUUCAUUGUAGAAAAUACUCUUUCUACCGUAGCAGUUGCAACUGGAAGAAUUAACACCAAUGUUACAAGCCUGUAAACUAAUGGGUACACCUCAUGUUUUUUUGUUACAACCAAGGUUUCUGCAAGAUCAUUAAGGCCUUGUAACCCUUCAAAAUCUUUGUGAGUGCGCAUAUCAAUAAUAUACGUCUGAAUUUACUCUUCAACUGCCAAGAUCUCUAUUGGUUUAAAAUCUUUGGGAUAAUACUCACACAACUGAAUUAACUUAUCCUUCUUGAAAGCAGAGAAUGAAUUAUCCGGACACAAGCAUGCAACAUAAAGGAGUAAGUCACUAUUUACCUCAGAGAAACGAUCAUUUAACUCUUGAAUUUGCAUAUCGAUGAUAGCAUAGAAGAAAUCCACAUGAAAAUGAUGUAGAUUUGUAAUUUCUUGAGUGUUAAGCCAUGAACGGCCUAGAGGUAUAAACAUAUCGUCCAUAUUGGAAACAUCAAUAUUGUACCUUUCGCAAAAGCAAGAAACUGUUCUUAAAAAU